CAUCCUUCCACUACUCCAGCUCAAGCACGCUUAACUCUGGAGUUCUUUCAGGAUGUGCUCCGGAAAAGGUAAGUCAACUUUGGUGACAUAGGUAGCCAAAUCAAUUCUCUUAAGCCUUUUCACAUAUCACAACUCGGGAUGUUACAAUUCACCCCCUCUCAAAGAACGCAACGUCCUCGUUGCGCCCCACGACAGGUCUCAAGACGCCUCUCAGGUCAGAACUGAGAUGGCUAACCAGCUCUGAUACCACUUAUAACGCCCCGACCGCCCACAGCUAAUGGGCCACCCACGCCCGCUCUCUCGGCCCGUGGGCCC
RNAcentral lists this long non-coding RNA (315 nucleotides) under Brassica napus (rape). RNAcentral's name for it is "long non-coding RNA (BNAP_LNC022033)". The record is from RNAcentral. Lineage: Eukaryota; Viridiplantae; Streptophyta; Magnoliopsida; Brassicales; Brassicaceae.